Molecule: non-coding RNA, 350 nt
Organism: Pelobates cultripes (western spadefoot toad)
Lineage: Eukaryota; Metazoa; Chordata; Amphibia; Anura; Pelobatidae
Source: the annotation of a GenBank genome assembly
GUUGAGGAGGCGGUGAAGGUGGAAGCGGCGGUGGAGGAAGAGGAUGAGGUAGCCAACACUGAUAUAUAUAUAAUGUUCCUCAGAGUAGCUGUUGACAUUAUAGUUGCACAGGCACUUUGUUGACUCUAGAGAACCUCAGACCAGACGCACAUCCCCGUGACGGCGAAUUAGCAUUUGGAUGUCAUCCAAAUCAACUUUCGAUGACAGUUUCUGCGCCUACCAUGGUGACCACGGGUAACGGAGAAUCAGGUUUCCAUUCCAUACAGGGACCCUGAGAAACGGCUACCAUAUGCAAGGAAGGCAGCAGGCGUGCAAAUGACCCACUCCUGAUGCGGGAAGGUAGUGACGAC